RNAcentral lists this ribosomal RNA (468 nucleotides) under uncultured bacterium. Its description in RNAcentral is "partial 16S ribosomal RNA". It matches the Rfam family "Bacterial small subunit ribosomal RNA", at positions 28 to 507 of the family's 1533-position model. The record is from RNAcentral.
GACGAACGCUGGCGGCGUGCUUAACACAUGCAAGUCGAACGGAAAGGCCCUGCUUUUGUGGGGUGCUCGAGCGGCGAACGGGUGAGUAACACGUGAGUAACCUGCCCUUGACUUUGGGAUAACUUCAGGAAACUGGGGCUAAUACCGGAUAGGAGCUCCUGCUGCAUGGUGGGGGUUGGAAAGUUUCGGCGGUUGGGGAUGGACUCGCGGCUUAUCAGCUUGUUGGUGGGGUAGUGGCUUACCAAGGCUUUGACGGGUAGCCGGCCUGAGAGGGUGACCGGCCACAUUGGGACUGAGAUGCGGCCCAGACUCCUACGGGAGGCAGCAGUGGGGAAUAUUGCACAAUGGGCGGAAGCCUGAUGCAGCAACGCCGCGUGCGGGAUGACGGCCUUCGGGUUGUAAACCGCUUUCGCCUGUGACGAAGCGUGAGUGACGGUAAUGGGUAAAGAAGCACCGGCUAACUACGUG